UGGGGAAUUUUGGACAAUGGGCGCAAGCCUGAUCCAGCCAUGCCGCGUGCGGGAAGAAGGCCUUCGGGUUGUAAACCGCUUUUGUCAGGGAAGAAAUCUUCUGAGUUAAUACCUCGGGAGGAUGACGGUACCUGAAGAAUAAGCACCGGCUAACUACGUGCCAGCAGCCGCGGUAAUACGUAGGGUGCAAGCGUUAAUCGGAAUUACUGGGCGUAAAGCGUGCGCAGGCGGUUUUGUAAGACAGAGGUGAAAUCCCCGGGCUCAACCUGGGAACUGCCUUUGUGACUGCAAGGCUUGAGUGCGGCAGAGGGGGAUGGAAUUCCGCGUGUAGCAGUGAAAUGCGUAGAUAUGCGGAGGAACACCGAUGGCGAAGCAAUCC
This 379-nucleotide ribosomal RNA is filed under the name uncultured bacterium. RNAcentral's name for it is "partial 16S ribosomal RNA". It matches the Rfam family "Bacterial small subunit ribosomal RNA", at positions 355 to 727 of the family's 1533-position model. The record is from RNAcentral.